AUACUUACUUGUGGGUAUGCGGGUUACACAUAGGGUGCAUUUGGUUCGGGUUAUCCUGCCAGAAUUAUAGGCAACCCUGUCAGGAUUAUUACGUUUGGUUCAUCCGAUAUGUAAUUUAGUCAGUGAUGUAGCAUUACAAAUGGUGCAGGAUUACACUGAAAAUAUUACCAAGAGUGGAGAGUGUAUAUGUUGAAUUACCAAAAGCGGUUAAUUUUACAUAUUAUAUAAAAUUAUAAGUUUACCCCUCCAACUACCGAAACCCUUUCAAUACGUCAUUUUAAAAAUUUUAAUUUAAAAUUUUGAAUUGUCAACUUUUAAAUUUUAAAUUUUGAAUUUUAAUAUUCAAUUUUCAAAUUUAAAUUUUAAAUUUUAAAUUUUUAAAUUUUAAACUUUAAAUUUUAAUUUUUAAAUUUUAAAUUUUUAAAUUUUUAAAUUUUAAACUUUAAAUUUCAAUUUUUAAAUUUUAAAUUUUUAAAUUUUUAAAUUUAAAUU
RNAcentral lists this long non-coding RNA (492 nucleotides) under Ananas comosus (pineapple). Its description in RNAcentral is "long non-coding RNA (ACOM_LNC010306)". The record is from RNAcentral. Lineage: Eukaryota; Viridiplantae; Streptophyta; Magnoliopsida; Poales; Bromeliaceae.